GAACGCGCUCCAUUCGGUAGCAAUACUGAUGAAGAGCGAGUGGCGAACGGGUGAGUAGCACGUGAGCAACCUGCCCCGAAGACUGGGACAACACCGGGAAACCGGUGCUAAUACCGGAUAUCCAUAUCGGACCGCAUGAUCCGAUAUGGAAAUGGAUUCCGCUUCGGGAGGGGCUCGCGGCCUAUCAGCUUGUUGGUGGGGUAAUGGCCUACCAAGGCAUCGACGGGUAGCUGGUCUGAGAGGACGAUCAGCCACACUGGGACUGAGACACGGCCCAGACUCCUACGGGAGGCAGCAGUGGGGAAUCUUGCGCAAUGGGCGAAAGCCUGACGCAGCAACGCCGCGUGGAGGACGAAGGCUUUCUGAGUUGUAAACUCCUUUCAGCAGGGACGAUAGUGACGGUACCUGCAGAAGAAGCACCGGCCAACUACGUGCCAGCAGCCGCGGUAAU
RNAcentral lists this ribosomal RNA (451 nucleotides) under uncultured bacterium. Its description in RNAcentral is "bacterial SSU rRNA". It matches the Rfam family "Bacterial small subunit ribosomal RNA", at positions 64 to 524 of the family's 1533-position model. The record is from RNAcentral.